GAUGAAGAACGCAGCGAAAUGCGAUAAGUAAUGUGAAUUGCAGAAUUCAGUGAAUCAUCGAAUCUUUGAACGCACAUUGCGCCCCUUGGUACUCCAUGGGGCAUGCCUGUUCGAGCGUCAUUUACACCCUCAAGCUCAGCUUGGUGUUGGGCGUCUGUCCCGCUUCGUGCGCGGACUCGCCUCAAAUGCAUUGGCAGCGGUCUUGCCAGCUUCUCGCGCAGCACAUUGCGCUUCUAGAGGCUUUGGCGGAUCGGCGUCCAUCAAGUACACCCACAGUUUGACCUCGGAUCAGGUAGGGAUACCCGCUGAACUUAAGCAUAUCAAUAAGCGGAGGA
This 335-nucleotide unclassified non-coding RNA is filed under the name soil metagenome. RNAcentral's name for it is "partial contains 5.8S ribosomal RNA, internal transcribed spacer 2, and large subunit ribosomal RNA". The stretch from base 1 to 120 matches the Rfam family "5.8S ribosomal RNA", at positions 35 to 154 of the family's 154-position model. The record is from RNAcentral.